CAGGCGAACGCUGGCGGCGUGCCUAACACAUGCAAGUCGAGCGGGGACAUGCGACGGAUAUGAAGUUUCGGAUGGAGUGAAGAUGUAUGUUCUAGCGGCGGACGGGUGAGUAACGCGUGAACAAUCUGUCCUUCACAGGGGGAUAACACAGCGAAAGUUGUACUAAUACCGCAUGAGACCACGGUGAGGCAUCUUACAGGGGUCAAAGGAGCAAUCCGGUGAAGGGUGAGUUCGCGUCCGAUUAGAUAGUUGGUGAGGUAACGGCCCACCAAGUCGACGAUCGGUAGCCGACCUGAGAGGGUGAUCGGCCACAUUGGGACUGAGACACGGCCCAAACUCCUACGGGAGGCAGCAGUGGGGAAUAUUGGGCAAUGGGGGGAAACCCUGACCCAGCAACGCCGCGUGAGGGAAGAAGGUUUUCGGAUCGUAAACCUCUGUCCUAGGUGAAGAGAAAGAGACGGUAGCCUAGGAGGAAGCCCCGGCUAACUACGUGCCAGCCGCCGC
Molecule: ribosomal RNA, 504 nt
Filed under: uncultured bacterium
Lineage: Bacteria
Description: bacterial SSU rRNA
Rfam family: Bacterial small subunit ribosomal RNA
Source: RNAcentral